GGGCGUAUGGUCUAGAGGUAUGAUACCUGCUUUGGGGUCUUAUGGAAUCCUUUGCAGGGGGUCUUCGGUUCGAAUCCGGAUUCGCCCC
Molecule: non-coding RNA, 88 nt
Organism: Lentinula lateritia
Lineage: Eukaryota; Fungi; Basidiomycota; Agaricomycetes; Agaricales; Omphalotaceae
Source: the annotation of a GenBank genome assembly